Molecule: small RNA, 349 nt
Filed under: Pongo abelii (Sumatran orangutan)
Lineage: Eukaryota; Metazoa; Chordata; Mammalia; Primates; Hominidae
Description: processed transcript
Source: RNAcentral
GGAGAUCCAAAGGGAUUUGCGUUUGUGGAAUUUGAAACAAAAGAACAAGCAGCAAAAGCAAUUGAGAAGAAGCACCAAGAAAACCUGGCAUAUUUCCUAAAACAGUGAAAAAUAAGCCCAUUCCAGCCUUAAGAGUUGUGGGUGAGUAUUUUUCAAUAUUUAAAUAGAUGUAGUUGAAGUAAGAUGAACUAAUGAUGGCACUUUUACAGAAGAGAAGAAAAAGAAAAAGAAGAAGAAAGGCCGAACGAAAAAGGAAGACAAUAUCCAAGCCAAAGAAGAAAACAUGGACACAAGCAACACCAGCGUCAGUAAAAUGAAAAGAUCCAGACCCACAUCUGAGGGCUCUGAC